RNAcentral lists this ribosomal RNA (253 nucleotides) under uncultured bacterium. RNAcentral describes it as "partial 16S ribosomal RNA". It matches the Rfam family "Bacterial small subunit ribosomal RNA", at positions 524 to 776 of the family's 1533-position model. The record is from RNAcentral.
UACGUAGGGCGCAAGCGUUGUCCGGAAUUAUUGGGCGUAAAGAGCGUGUAGGCGGCCAGGUAGGUCAGCUGUGAAAACUCGAGGCUCAACCUCGAGACGUCGGUUGAAACCACCUGGCUAGAGUCCGGAAGAGGAGAGUGGAAUUCCUGGUGUAGCGGUGAAAUGCGCAGAUAUCAGGAAGAACACCCGUGGCGAAGGCGGCUCUCUGGGACGGUACUGACGCUGAGACGCGAAAGCGUGGGGAGCGAACAGG